GUAUUUGGAGGAUGUUAUGGCCCAUAAACAGGCCAUUCCCUUCACACGAUUCUGCGGUGGUGUUGGACGUACUGCUCAGGCAAAGAAUAGGCAUCCAAAUGGACAGGGACGAUGGCCUGUCAAAUCAGCAAAGUUCAUUCUUGACUUGCUCAAGAAUGCUGAGAGUAAUGCUGAGGUAUGUCUCUUAUGUGUGUUUACAGAUUGUUGCUGUCUACAUAAUUUCUGUUGGCUAAUAAUUGGUUAAUAAAUGAUAUUUUAGGUGAAAGGUUUAGAUGUUGAUGCACUCUACAUUUCUCACAUCCAAGUCAACCAGGCACAAAAGCAAAGGCGCCGCACAUACCGUGCUCAUGGAAGAAUUAAUCGUAUGUUUUUAGUUCUUUUCCACUUGUGCUUAAUAUUUUUAUGUUGAUGUUUGUUUCAUACUUGAUGGUAAACUUGAUAAAAAUCUGCAGCUUACAUGUCCUCUCCCUGCCAUAUUGAGUUGACCUUAUCUGAAAAGGAAGAGCCAGUAAAGAAAGAGGUAAUAUUAUUACCUUUCACAGUUUUCACUUGGAGUGAUUGCAAUUCAGAAGUUACACUUUUAUAAUGUCUUAUUUUGUUUUCUUUGCCUUGCAGCCUGAGACCCAGUUGGCAACUAGCAAAUCAAAGAAGUAAUUGUCUGAGGUUUAGCAUAGCAAUUGGAGAGUGCCUUGAUUUUCUAUUUUGUGUUCUUGAUGAAGUGAGUUUUUUUACCUUUAAUAGUGACUGAGAUGUUAUUUAGUCAAAUCAGAC
This 771-nucleotide long non-coding RNA is filed under the name Citrus maxima (pomelo). RNAcentral's name for it is "long non-coding RNA (CMAX_LNC003197)". The record is from RNAcentral. Lineage: Eukaryota; Viridiplantae; Streptophyta; Magnoliopsida; Sapindales; Rutaceae.